RNAcentral lists this non-coding RNA (30 nucleotides) under Mus musculus (house mouse). Lineage: Eukaryota; Metazoa; Chordata; Mammalia; Rodentia; Muridae. The record is from RNAcentral. RNAcentral also lists the same sequence under 1 other name.
UACCAGUCUGGUACUUUUAAUUACUGUGUA